RNAcentral lists this ribosomal RNA (735 nucleotides) under Triticum aestivum (bread wheat). RNAcentral's name for it is "partial small subunit ribosomal RNA". Lineage: Eukaryota; Viridiplantae; Streptophyta; Magnoliopsida; Poales; Poaceae. The record is from RNAcentral.
AUGUUACAAAUAAUCAAAUAUCACAAAAAAUAUGACAACCAAUUUCUGGUGUCGUGCCGCCGUGGACUAGCCCCACCCUCCUCUCCCGUUGUGCUGCCACCGAUGCCAGCGAAGCCAUGCGUGCCCUCGGAGGGUGGUGGCGGGGCAUUUUCCUUUAGGUUGAUGGAUGUCCUUGGGCAGAGCUCGCGGCGGACGGCAGUCCCGGUGGAGCGCGGCGGUCUAGCGUUAGGAGACUCAUGCUACUCGUCGGGUGUCGUCCCUUAUAGUAGCAAGGCGGCCCUUGGGUGGUGCUCGGUGGUGUGGAGCGGGCCAGGUCUAGGCUCCUGGAUCUGGCAUCCCGCGCUCACGGACACAUGCACGUCUAUGCCCCCCUUGCCCGAGGGAGCGUUGUGCUUCGCUGGUGGCGCCUGCAUCUUCCUGUGCGGUCUCCUGGGUCUGGAUGACGAGGCGACGAGGGUGGUUGGAGGUGGAUGUGGGCCAGCAUGGACGACAGGGCCUAAACGCCACGAUGUCCGGCAUGGACAGAUUCAGGCUCCGCCCAGAUCAGCCAUGGUGCAUUGCUGUUGUCCCUCGGAUGAUGUGGAGGUGGUGAGCUCGAUCCUGGCGGAUCUGGACGACUUAGUGGUGGAGACUACUGUGAUGCGAGAUGCGGCUCUUCUCGAUGCGGUGGUCUGCCUGCUUGAGCGGCUCCGUUGCGCGUUGGGUUCUAUGAUUUGCGGUGGCAUGCCUGCUUGA